UUUCCGUAGGUGAACCUGCGGAAGGACCAUUACAGAGUUCAUGCCCUCACGGGUAGAACUCCCACCCUUGAAUAUUUAUACCUUAGUUGCUUUGGCAGGCCGUGGAAACACCAUGGGCUCCGGCUUAUGCGUGCCUGCCAGAGGAAACAAACUCUGUUUUUAGUGAUGUCUGAGUACUAUAUAAUAGUUAAAACUUUCAACAACGGAUCUCUUGGUUCUG
This 220-nucleotide unclassified non-coding RNA is filed under the name plant metagenome. Its description in RNAcentral is "partial contains small subunit ribosomal RNA, internal transcribed spacer 1, and 5.8S ribosomal RNA". The record is from RNAcentral.